GACGAACGCUGGCGGCGUGCUUAACACAUGCAAGUCGAACGAAGAGCGAUGGAAGCUUGCUUCUAUCAAUCUUAGUGGCGAACGGGUGAGUAACGCGUAAUCAACCUGCCCUUCAGAGGGGGACAACAGUUGGAAACGACUGCUAAUACCGCAUACGAUCUAAUCUCGGCAUCGAGGAUAGAUGAAAGGUGGCCUCUACAUGUAAGCUAUCACUGAAGGAGGGGAUUGCGUCUGAUUAGCUAGUUGGAGGGGUAACGGCCCACCAAGGCGAUGAUCAGUAGCCGGUCUGAGAGGAUGAACGGCCACAUUGGGACUGAGACACGGCCCAGACUCCUACGGGAGGCAGCAGUGGGGAAUCUUCCGCAAUGGACGAAAGUCUGACGGAGCAACGCCGCGGGAGUGAUGACGGCCUUCGGGUUGUAAAGCUCGGUUAAUCGGGACGAAAGGCCUUCUUGCGAAUAGUGAGAAGGAUUGACGGUACCGGAAGAGAAAGCCACGGCUAACUACGUG
This 510-nucleotide ribosomal RNA is filed under the name uncultured bacterium. Its description in RNAcentral is "partial 16S ribosomal RNA". It matches the Rfam family "Bacterial small subunit ribosomal RNA", at positions 28 to 507 of the family's 1533-position model. The record is from RNAcentral.